RNAcentral lists this ribosomal RNA (433 nucleotides) under uncultured bacterium. Its description in RNAcentral is "partial 16S ribosomal RNA". It matches the Rfam family "Bacterial small subunit ribosomal RNA", at positions 29 to 507 of the family's 1533-position model. The record is from RNAcentral.
AACGAACGCUGGCGGCAUGCCUAACACAUGCAAGUCGAACGAGACCUUCGUGUCUAGUGGCGCACGGGUGCGUAACGCGUGGGAACCUGCCCUUAGGUUCGGAAUAACUCCCCGACAGGGGUGCUAAUACCGGAUAAUGUCUUCGGACCAAAGAUUUAUCGCCUUUGGAUGGGCCCGCGUUGCAUUAGCUUGUUGGUAGGGUAAAAGCCUACCAAGGCGACGAUCCAUAGCUGGUCUGAGAGGAUGAUCAGCCACACUGGGACUGAGACACGGCCCAGAAUCCUACGGGAGGCAGCAGUGGGGAAUAUUGGACAAUGGGCGAAAGGCUGAUCCAGCAAUGCCGCGUGAGUGAUGAAGGCCUUAGGGUUGUAAAGCUCUUUUACCCGGGAUGAUAAUGACAGUACCGGGAGAAUAAGCUCCGGCUAACUCCGUG